Molecule: ribosomal RNA, 324 nt
Filed under: uncultured Paracercomonas
Lineage: Eukaryota; Cercozoa; Cercomonadida; Cercomonadidae
Description: SSU rRNA
Rfam family: Eukaryotic small subunit ribosomal RNA (bases 105-324)
Source: RNAcentral
GAUUUCUGGUACGAUAUGCCUGGCCCGUCCUCGUCAGAGGCUCGAGUGCUGGUGUGUGUCUGCCAUCUUUCUAGAGAGCGGCACUUCCCUUCAUUGGAGAGGUGUCCGUCAUCUAGAUCUUUUACUUUGAAAAAAUUAGAGUGUUUCAAGCAGGCUUUAUGCUAUGAAUACAUUAGCAUGGAAUAAUAAUUUAGGACUUCGGUUCUAUUUUGUUGGUUUCUAGGACUGAAGUAAUGAUUGAUAGGGAUAGUUGGGGGUGCUAGUAUUCAGCGGCCAGAGGUGAAAUUCUCGGAUUCGCUGAAGACUAACUUAUGCGAAAGCAUU